This 204-nucleotide ribosomal RNA is filed under the name uncultured bacterium. Its description in RNAcentral is "partial 16S ribosomal RNA". It matches the Rfam family "Bacterial small subunit ribosomal RNA", at positions 524 to 726 of the family's 1533-position model. The record is from RNAcentral.
UACGGGGGGAGCAAGCGUUGUUCGGAUUUACUGGGCGUAAAGGGCGCGUAGGCGGCCACCGCAAGUCGGUUGUGAAAUCUCUGGGCUUAACCCAGAAAGGUCAACCGAUACUGCGGGGCUAGAGUGCAGAAGGGGCAACUGGAAUUCUCGGUGUAGCGGUGAAAUGCGUAGAUAUCGAGAGGAACACCUGCGGCGAAGGCGGGU